AGAUCCCUGUGUACCUGAGGCCUUCUAAAGGUUCUUAAGAAUCCAGCUGUGUUUUCAAGCAUCCAGAUGUGCAUGUCAAGGAUGGUCCUGUCUGCAGUCGCCAGCCUGGCAGAUUUUGUCCAUCUACCCAGUGUUAUUCACUGAACUGUGGCUGUUAUCUAGAAUGGCACAGAAGAAAUAGAACCCAAAAGAAACAGGACCCACAAGAAAUUUCCCAGGCAUCCUAACAGCACCACCAGCAGUCACGGCAUCUUUUGAGGGCACUUAUGAAAUCUGGACUCUCAUGCUUCUGAUUGGAGAUAAUGGCAUUAAAAGAGAUCUCUGUGACCAACCACUCAGUAUUAGGGCUCACAGCUGACCAAAGUCACAUCAUCCUAUUCAUCAAAUCCUUCAUCGAGCAGUGCUAAUUAUUCCUGCCAGUCCUAUGCUGAGGCUGUUUGGGGCAUUCACUGAUCUCAUGGUAGGGCAAAUUUGAUUUCCAAGGUGAAUCUAUCUAUGAGCUACGAAUCUAUUUGGUUUGAGUCAUCUUUUGCCUUCCAGGUUAGCUAGCUCAGCCUUUCUCUGCCAACCUAACAUACCCUAAAGAAGAGCUGUGAUCCAGCUGCUGCUCUCUCCCUUUUCUGGUUCAGGAGCAUGAUGGUCCCAGGAUUGUGACUGCUCUUUCAAAAUACAAGGGGCACAAAGGAGUGCUUGCUGGUUGCUAAUUGCUGGAUGACAUUUUUCUACCCGCUGGCACUGCUGCAGUCGCUGCCCAGGACAUUCAUGGUUACAUCUUGUCUUUGAUCUUGUUCAUGGUCUGGCCUUCAUCUUUCUGCCUCAAAAUGUUCUCUUUCAUUUCCUGUUGGAGGAAGAGACUGAGUCCAUUCCUGCAGGUGGGAGGAUCAGAUAUAACUUUAUUGAAUCCUGUUUGCCCAUAGAAUGCCAGCAAGACAGAUUUUAAGGAGGAAAAAAGUGCCCGGUGUUUCAGCCAAAAGCCUUGCCUCCAUACAGGUGGUAAAAGCCGGGGUUGGAGAUGCUGUCAGACAAAUUAAAAACCUCCAGUAUCUGCUACCCCUGCACUCUCUGUGAUGCUGCCUGUUCGUUUAGUUCAAUACAACUUUGUGUUCUGCUGCCAGACUGGAGGAAGAUAGAGCAUUAUGACUGGAUGAUAGCUCGGUAUUUUGUCUUCAGGACAGCUUGAAGUGACUUGCCAAGGCUGCCCUGCAGCAAACACCCUUCUAGCAUUUCAGCCAGCACCUCGCUCUUCCACUCAUACAACACAGCAGGGCAUAGAAAACAACUAUGCAUUUCUCAGAAAGCCUACCUUGCAAGCUCUAGAAGGACCAUGACUUGGAAGAC
This is a long non-coding RNA of Gallus gallus (chicken), 1338 nucleotides long. NCBI's taxonomy places the organism in Eukaryota, Metazoa, Chordata, Aves, Galliformes, Phasianidae. The record is from Ensembl.